CGGAAUGAGUACACUUUAAAUCCUUUAACAAGGAUCUAUUGGAGGGCAAGUCUGGUGCCAGCAGCCGCGGUAAUUCCAGCUCCAAUAGCGUAUAUUAAAGUUGUUGCGGUUAAAAAGCUCGUAGUUGGUUCUGUGUGCCCAUGCUGUCGGUUCACCGCCUGCCGGUGCAACUGACAUGUCAUGGGACGUCUUGUCGGUGGCAAUUAAGGGGCUAAUUUUUAGUAAAGGCUUGCCUUAACUAAAUUUAGGUAACUUCAAUUGCCGAUUAAAUCCUGCCGCGGUGCUCUUCACUGAGUGUCGAGGUGGGCCGACACGUUUACUUUGAACAAAUUAGAGUGCUCAAAGCAGGCAAAAAUCUGCCUGAAUAGUGGUGCAUGGAAUAAUAGAAUAAGAUCUUGGUUCUGUUUUGUUGGUUUUUAAGAAUCCAAGGUAAUGAUCAAUAUGGACAGGCGGGGGCAUUCGUAUUGCGACGUUAGAGGUGAAAUUCUUGGAUCGUCGCAAGACGAACUAGAGCGAAAGCAUUUGCCAAGUAUGUCUUAAUUGAUCAAGAACGAAAGUUAGAGGCUCGAAGGCGAUCAGAUACCGCCCUAGUUCUAACCA
This 600-nucleotide ribosomal RNA is filed under the name Schizoptera (Kophaegis) sp. 1 SL-2016. RNAcentral describes it as "bacterial SSU rRNA". It matches the Rfam family "Eukaryotic small subunit ribosomal RNA", at positions 510 to 1032 of the family's 1831-position model. Lineage: Eukaryota; Metazoa; Arthropoda; Insecta; Hemiptera; Schizopteridae. The record is from RNAcentral.